Molecule: long non-coding RNA, 4201 nt
Organism: Hylaeus anthracinus
Lineage: Eukaryota; Metazoa; Arthropoda; Insecta; Hymenoptera; Colletidae
Exons: 2
Source: RefSeq, a predicted model, not a curated record
UUAAAGCCGGCGACUGACUUGCAACGGAACGCUGUAAUGUAACUGCUCGGCACGAAUUGUACGGUUCGACACCAACGUUACAUUACAAGGUCCUUUUUGGAUUCACGAAUGCUCGCUUCGAACUCUCGGCUGAAUUCUCCCUCGAUGCUUCCUACUCAGUUCGGUGAAAAGUAGACGAUCAAAGAGGUUCGUGAAAAAACCGACAGACCAAGCGGAGCACGAUCGAGCUCAAGAACGGCUCGGUUCGUCGCUCGUUAGUCCGUCAAACUAAGCGAAUGCUCGCGUUACAUUAAAAUGUUCCGUUGCAAGUCAGUCGUCGGUUUUAGAGUGGCAACGUGGCAGCGAGGGCCUAUCGCGAACAGUCUUCGAUUUGUCGCAAAUGGAUAAUCGACGGCAAAAGGAUAAACGCCACGUUAACGAGAAUACUCCGAUACGUAAGAUUGAUCGAGUGGAUGUUGGCGAGCAAACAAAAUAACGCGUCCUAUCGUCCGAUCGAAAGUGACAAAUUUGCGGUAACGUGUAAUCUUCUGGAUCGUUAACAUCAUGAUUAUACGUUUCCAUACGUGAUUACAUUUUACGCCGCGUACACGUUUGGCCAUUUCAAAAAGGCCUGACCGAAACAAUAUUCGCUAUACGAAUAUCCACGCUACAUAAUAUUUAAUAAAAUAUCACAACUAGAACCAUCGAUACAAUUUACGGUAUACUUUUUUCUUUUUUAGUCAAUUUGUUUUCCCGCGUAUAUAUACACGUAUAUAUAGUAAUAGCAUCUACUAUGUGUUAAUUAGAUACUCCCCGUUGCAGCGACGCGCUUACUUCUAAGCCGUACAGCAAAAAUGUGUGUUAAAAGUAACGAUGACUGCGUUGAACAUGACUCUUGAGCUUGUACUGACUGACGAUCUACAUCUAAGAGAGAAACUACUAUUAUUAUAACAUAGGACCAUGCGCGAGUAGCGUAUACACCACACUUUGUAAACCCAAAAGCUGUUAUUAGUAAUACAUCGACCACAAUAUUUUCUACUCAUUAGACAGUAAUCGAUAUUUGACUUCAAACGCUAGUACUUAGAAUGAAAUCUACAGAGAAUACUUUGUAUGCCCCACAGCACGCUAUUAACAACGGUGAAUGUAAUAAUAAAAUAAUCUAAUCUGUGGUUAAUCCGAACUACGGUGCGAUAAUUACAGUUCUUAAUGCUAAUGUUUUACAAAAUUCUUGCAUCGUCAGUCAAAACUUGCUCUUUGGAUGAAAGAAACGAAAACCUGACUGAGAAAACUUCCACCUACAACUAGUGACACGUAUAUAUCUAAAUAUACGUCCGAAUAUGUACACAGAGGCGAAAAUGAAGCAUAAGAAAUGACUAUAUUCGUACGACUGUCGCGUGUACACCGUGUAAUGUGUGUGUUUGUCCAAUGUAUCGAUUCGCAAAGGAAUAAAACAAAACUGUUUCUAUACAUACACACGCGCGAGUACGCGCGCAUACACACAUACAUAUGUGCGCGUACACACGCACGUAUAUUAUCACUAACAAUGGUCUUCUUUACGGUAGUAAAAGUGUGUGAAAUCUAAGGAUAUGACUUUAUCUCGCGAUAUGCGAGAAGAGAAGGUAGGUUUUCUUCUAUGCUAUACAACCUCCUACGCUCUAUGGAAGCAUACAUUACAUACAUACAUAUAUAUAUACACACAUACACACGUAAGUGCGCAAAACUGCUGGUAUGUUAAUUAAUUCACGUUGAUUCUAUUUUUCUUUUUUUUUCUGUACUGCAACUCUUUCAUGACGCACCGAAAAAGAGGCGCGCACCCUUCUUUCGUCGUCGCCUUUUACUCUCCCUCGAUAGCAGUAAAUAUGUAAAUGUUAAAUAUAAUUAAUCGUAAGUAUGAUUAAACAGGCACAUCGACUUGGUUACAUAUAAUUUUUCUAUUUUAUUUUGUGUGUGUACGUGUGUGUCGAAAGAAAAAUAUCGGAAAAGCCAAUUGGUAUUGGUAGACGCGCUGCACAAAUUUGAUAAUAUGGAAACAAAUAAUUACUGUUAGAAAAUUUGUCACGUAACAGUUAUUUCCUAAUAGCGAUAUCAACGUCUAUAUCCUAUCGAUCGAAAGUAGCAAAUUAAUAGCGUCAUCGUUUAGUAUUUAUUCAAAUGUUGUAAAUUUCUUUUAGUCUUGCGAUAUUGUGGUAAAGUAUUUAAAAUUUCACUUAGUAACUUUCUCUCCCUCUCUCUCUUUCUCUACGUAGCAUUCUUUUUAUCCCUUCUAUCUCUAGAACUCCCUUUCAUUCAGUCACACUCGCGCUCUACAUGUAAAAUACUUCUAAUUAAACUCUGGACAUGGAUCACUCUAUUUAAUCAACGUACCACAGUUAAUAUCUCGUACAAGUUAUCAUACAGCUAUGUAUACAAAAUAAUUAGCAAAACAAUGCCUAAGCGUCAUUCCAUUAAAAAACACGAGAUACGCGUCGACACGCGAAAAAAUCUUUAUCCUUUCCUUUUUUAUCUUUUUAAGCGUUACGAGUAAACGAAUGGUAUGCGCGACCUAACAUUUUACAGCUGCAAAAACAUCGAAAUCUAGGAAGAGAGCCAUUCGCAAUAAGUAUGUACAAUUCGAUAAUUUGGAUAUUCACGUGUAUACGUGAUGUAGCUCGUUCGACGUUAUGAAUACACUUUAUAAAUAGACAUUUAAACAUCGCUUUUGUUUAUAAUGUCGUGAAAAAGUGCAAGAAGGAAGAACAUGAUUCGACGAGGGGAACAGACAAGAAGAAAUCACUAAAAACAUGCACUCAUCGACGCGUUCGUCACGUCAGAGUGUAUAGAAUGUAUAACGAAGAAAGUGUAUUUAAUUUUGUGUGUGUGUGUGUGUAUGUGUGUUUGUGUAUUAUUCGAUAUUGUAAUACAUGCAAUGAAGACUUCUUUUCGAUAGAAACUGUAUUUGAAAAUAUGUUUUACGAAUCAAUUCUAAUCCCUCCUGAAAUUCAGUUUAGCACUUCAAUGAGUCCUAAUUGGCCAUGUUUGGAUCGCACUGAUAAAUUGUAUACCACGGAUUUGUGCAAUGUACCCUACGUGUACAUUUUUAAAGCUACAAUCCUCGGUGAAAUGCAAAACGUUGAAAUACGAUAUAGAAAAAAGAAUCGAACGUUAAUGCAAACAUGCACGAUUCCGAUGCGAAUUUCAUUCUUGAACAAUCCUAUCACGUAAUUUCACCUAGAACGUGAUAUCUACAAAAAUAGGUGAAAUUGCGAACUGCUGGCAAUCUUAAAAUCAGCGAUACCUAAUUGCAAUAGUAAUAAUAACCAUUAGUAGUUACGGCGACGGGAUGAUAUGAUUCAUUAUGAGAUUAAAAUAAAUAGUGAGGCUGCUGCGAGGAGACACAGCUUUUGUCAAAUACAAAUUACCGUGCACAAUCAAUCUCUCACCAUUUGAAUCGAAACGUAAGAGGUAUUCGAUUCUAAACUUAACUGCACGCAUUAUUUCCGUAUAUUAACGGUAUCGUCUCAAGAUUGUUUAGUUAUUACGACACAUAAACAUACUUGAGACCGUUUGAAAUAAACCUAGAACGAUAAAACUCGAAACACAUUUUUACAAUUAAUCGAUAUACCGCGUAUAGAUGCGUGUGUAUAUACGUACGUAUGUCCGCGUACAAUUGAAAAGUGUCCACGUUUUGAAAAGAGAACGUUUGAAACGUUCAAGCCUGUCGUUGCGCUCGACAACAAAAACCUUCUAGCCAGGUCGAAAUUUAACCAGGCGAAAGCAAUAAAAUAUCACCGCCGCCGAAUGACCGUAAAUUCUACCGAAUCAAAGAUAACUUUGUCACCGAGCAUUAAAAACAAUUGUGUAUGAUACGUGUUUGACGUAUCAUCGUAAAAGAAAUGCAUUUAUAUGCCCCAUUUCAACGCGGUGGUUCAAUAAAUUACGUUUGCCGUUUUACGGUAAAGUAAUACAGUUUUACCGAAUCACCAACGUCGCCGGUUUUAUCUGCUUAAAUUGCGCAUUAAUUCCCUUGGUUUUUGCGAAUUCGAGCGAAAUCGCCUAAUUAAUCAUCUUUUCGUAACGUCCUAGUAAAAUUUUCUUUGGCGCGAUAACUACAUUCGCCCUCCCAAAAGUCAGGAAACGUUGAGUACGAAAUACACGUGUACAGUAUUUUCUGAAAAGUUGUCGGACGUCUUGAACGAGUAGAUGAAAUUUUCUCGCUGUUAAAUAAAAAUCGUGACAACACCUC